Molecule: ribosomal RNA, 468 nt
Filed under: uncultured bacterium
Lineage: Bacteria
Description: partial 16S ribosomal RNA
Rfam family: Bacterial small subunit ribosomal RNA
Source: RNAcentral
GACGAACGCUGGCGGCGUGCUUAACACAUGCCAGUCGAACGGAAAGGCCCUGCUUUUGUGGGGUGCUCGAGUGGCGAACGGGUGAGUAACACGUGAGUAACCUGCCCUUGACUUUGGGAUAACUUCAGGAAACUGGGGCUAAUACCGGAUAGGAGCUCCUGCUGCAUGGUGGGGGUUGGAAAGUUUCGGCGGUUGGGGAUGGACUCGCGGCUUAUCAGCUUGUUGGUGGGGUAGUGGCUUACCAAGGCUUUGACGGGUAGCCGGCCUGAGAGGGUGACCGGCAACAAUGGGACUGAGAGACGGCGCAGACGCCUACGGGAGGCAGCAGGGGGGAAUAUGGCACAAUGGGCGGAAGCGUGAUGCAGCAACGCCGCGUGCGGGAUGACGGCCUUCGGGUUGUAAACCGCUUUCGCCUGUGACGAAGCGUGAGUGACGGUAAUGGGUAAAGAAGCACCGGCUAACUACGUG